GCUGUCUUAGCUCAGCAGGCAGAGCACUUCCUUGGUAAGGAAGAGGUCGGCGGUUCGAAUCCGCUAGACAGCUCCA
RNAcentral lists this transfer RNA (76 nucleotides) under Oscillospiraceae bacterium. RNAcentral describes it as "tRNA-Thr". It matches the Rfam family "tRNA". From Rfam's summary of the family: Transfer RNA (tRNA) molecules are approximately 80 nucleotides in length. Their secondary structure includes four short double-helical elements and three loops (D, anti-codon, and T loops). The record is from RNAcentral. Lineage: Bacteria; Bacillati; Bacillota; Clostridia; Eubacteriales; Oscillospiraceae.